ACAACACAGGGUCAAAACCCUAGCGGUAUCUCCCCUCAUCUCCCCCGAUUUUCAUGGAGCAGCGACACAGAGGCGACCAAAACAGCGAUCCGAGGUACUCCGGCCAUGGCGGUGCGGCAGCUCCGUUUGUCGGAGCAGCGUGUCUGGCUCAAGGCCGUGCGCUCCUCCGCCGAACGGCACCAGCCAUGUCGAGCUCAUGGCGAGACCCGGACUCCUUCAGCGCCUGGGAUGCGGGAGGAAUCUCGUCGGCGGCUGCCAAUGGAAGCAUUCCGCGGCGACAGUGGCGUCAACAUGCAAGGCACAGAGGCCGGCCGACACGCGUGUCCAUGAGCACAUCAGCUGCGGCCGCAAUCUUCCCGAGAGACGGCGGCGUCGCCGGCGUCGAUGCCCACGCACGGCGGCCGCUGUGCUGGACCCCGACGCGGCGUCAUCAAGGCACAACAUAGCCUAUGAACUCCAGUGACGAGGAUGAGCAACAGCAGUGGCACCGCGGUGAUGUAGUCGUGGAGAGGCAGCAGCUCAUCCAGGAGCUUCGCCGGUGGCAACAGGAAGCCGCCGGCACAGCCUUGCGGCGACCAGAGGUGGAAACGGCCUUCUGAUCCCCUUAGCUCCCCUUUUUAGGAUCGGUAGUUGAGGUCAUGAUAAAAAUUACCUGUAAAUGAUGGAUCACACAUACAGGAGAAGUACCUCCCUUUUAUAUGUGGGGGCUAGGGAACAGGGACCGAAACCAAUAGGUUGUUUGCACCCCUAAUCACAGUGCGUGCCCGAGAGAGGUAUGGUGGGCCACACCCCAACUUUUCUCUCGGUUGUUAGUCGAGAUCAAUUCCAACAGGGACCACUCCCGGUGAUGACCGUAGUUUUUAGGAGUUCAUGUAUUUAACAUGUGUUAAUGCUUUGUUCCGGUUCUCUAUUAAAAGGAGGUCUUAAUAUCUUUUAAUGUUCAA
Long non-coding RNA from Triticum aestivum (bread wheat), 944 nucleotides. RefSeq lists it as uncharacterized. The record is from RefSeq and is a predicted model, not a curated record. The transcript has 2 exons. NCBI's taxonomy places the organism in Eukaryota, Viridiplantae, Streptophyta, Magnoliopsida, Poales, Poaceae.